This 594-nucleotide ribosomal RNA is filed under the name Bacillus sp. CH46b_2B. RNAcentral's name for it is "bacterial SSU rRNA". It matches the Rfam family "Bacterial small subunit ribosomal RNA", at positions 56 to 632 of the family's 1533-position model. The record is from RNAcentral. RNAcentral also lists the same sequence under 1 other name. Lineage: Bacteria; Bacillati; Bacillota; Bacilli; Caryophanales; Bacillaceae.
UGCAGUCGAGCGGACUGAUGGGAGCUUGCUCCCAUCAGUCAGCGGCGGACGGGUGAGUAACACGUGGGUAACCUGCCUGUAAGACUGGGAUAACUCCGGGAAACCGGGGCUAAUACCGGAUAACUCAUUUCCUCGCAUGAGGAAAUGUUGAAAGGUGGCUUUUAGCUAUCACUUACAGAUGGACCCGCGGCGCAUUAGCUAGUUGGUGAGGUAACGGCUCACCAAGGCGACGAUGCGUAGCCGACCUGAGAGGGUGAUCGGCCACACUGGGACUGAGACACGGCCCAGACUCCUACGGGAGGCAGCAGUAGGGAAUCUUCCGCAAUGGACGAAAGUCUGACGGAGCAACGCCGCGUGAGUGAUGAAGGUUUUCGGAUCGUAAAACUCUGUUGUUAGGGAAGAACAAGUACCGUUCGAAUAGGGCGGUACCUUGACGGUACCUAACCAGAAAGCCACGGCUAACUACGUGCCAGCAGCCGCGGUAAUACGUAGGUGGCAAGCGUUGUCCGGAAUUAUUGGGCGUAAAGCGCGCGCAGGUGGUUUCUUAAGUCUGAUGUGAAAGCCCACGGCUCAACCGUGGAGGGUCAUUGGAAA